GAUGAACGCUGGCGGCGUGCCUAAUACAUGCAAGUCGAGCGAACGGACGAGAAGCUUGCUUCUCUGAUGUUAGCGGCGGACGGGUGAGUAACACGUGGAUAACCUACCUAUAAGACUGGGAUAACUUCGGGAAACCGGAGCUAAUACCGGAUAAUAUUUUGAACCGCAUGGUUCAAAAGUGAAAGACGGUCUUGCUGUCACUUAUAGAUGGAUCCGCGCUGCAUUAGCUAGUUGGUAAGGUAACGGCUUACCAAGGCAACGAUGCAUAGCCGACCUGAGAGGGGGAUCGGCCACCCGGGAACUGAGACCCGUCCCAACCCCCUACGGGAGGCAGCAGGAGGGAAUUUUCCGAAAGGGGCGAAACCCUGACGGAGCAACGCCGCGGGGGUGAUGAAGGUUUUCGGAUCGUAAAACUCUUUUAUUAGGGAAAAAAAAAUGUGUAAGUAACUGUGCACAUCUUGACGGUACCUAAUCAGAAAGCCACGGCUAACUACGU
RNAcentral lists this ribosomal RNA (496 nucleotides) under uncultured bacterium. RNAcentral describes it as "partial 16S ribosomal RNA". It matches the Rfam family "Bacterial small subunit ribosomal RNA", at positions 28 to 506 of the family's 1533-position model. The record is from RNAcentral.